RNAcentral lists this ribosomal RNA (1322 nucleotides) under metagenome. RNAcentral's name for it is "bacterial LSU rRNA". It matches the Rfam family "Bacterial large subunit ribosomal RNA", at positions 1561 to 2925 of the family's 2925-position model. The record is from RNAcentral.
AGUGGAUGGGGAGCAACCUAGUUGUGCGUGUGUAAAGGUAGUGCCAAGAAAAGCGAUGAUCAUGUUGAAAAUCAAUUCCCGGUACCCGAAACCGACACAGGUGGGCAAGUAGAGAAUACUAAGGGGCGCGAGGUAACUCUCUCCAAGGAACUCGGCAAAAUGACCCCGUAACUUAGGGAGAAGGGGUGCCACCGAGAGGUGGUCGCAGUGAAGAGGCCCAGGCGACUGUUUAGCAAAAACAUAGGUCUCUGCAAACUCGAAAGAGGAGGUAUAGGGGCUGACGCCUGCCCAGUGCCGGAAGGUUAAAGAAGUUGGUCAGUCUUAGGAUGAAGCUAGCGACUGAAGCCCCGGCGAACGGCGGCCGUAACUAUAACGGUCCUAAGGUAGCGAAAUUCCUUGUCGGGUAAGUUCCGACCCGCACGAAAGGCGUAACGAUCUGGGCGCUGUCUCGGAGAGAGGCUCGGCGAAAUAGGAUUGUCUGUGAAGAUACGGACUACCUGCAUUUGGACAGAAAGACCCUAUGAAGCUUUACUAUAGCUUGGAAUUGUGUUCGGGCUUCCUGUGCGCAGGAUAGGUGGGAGGCAUAGAAGGUAUUCUUGUGGGGAUACUGGAGCCAACGGUGAGAUACCACUCUCAGGAGGCUAGAAUUCUAACUUAAUUGAGGACAGUUUCAGGUGGGUAGUUUGACUGGGGCGGUCGCCUCCAAAAAGGUAACGGAGGCGUACAAAGGUUCCCUCAGACUGGUUGGAAAUCAGUCGAAGAGUGCAAAGGCAGAAGGGAGCUUGACUGCGAGAAGUACAGUUCGAGCAGGGUGGAAACACGGUCUUAGUGAUCCGACGGUGCUGUGUGGAAGGGCCGUCGCUCAACGGAUAAAAGUUACUCUAGGAUAACAGGCUGAUCUCCCCCAAGAGUUCACAUCGACGGGGAGGUUUGGCACCUCGAUGUCGGCUCAUCGCAACCUGGGGCGGAAGUACGUCCCAAGGGUUGGGCUGUUCGCCCAUUAAAGCGGUACGUGAGCUGGGUUCAGAACGUCGUGAGACAGUUCGGUCCAUAUCCGAUGUAGGCGUGAGAAUAUUGAGAGGAGCCUUCCUUAGUACGAGAGGACCGGGAAGGACGCACCGCUGGUGUACCUGUUAUGAUGCCAAUUGUAAACGCAGGGUAGCCAAGUGCGGAGAGGAUAACCGCUGAAAGCAUCUAAGUGGGAAGCCCACCUCAAGAUGAGUAUUCUGGUGUAAGGUCACGGGAAGACGACCCGUAAAUAGGCACGAGGUGGAAGUGCAGAGAUGUAUGAAGCCGAAGUGUACUAAUAGACCGUCGGCUUG